UGUUUCAAUAUUCACUUCUUGUAGGUGUAAUGGAUAUCGUAGUUUGUAACUAAAAAAUAAUAAAUUAUCUAUAAUUAGAGCUCUAGAUUCGCAGCCAUGCUCUGUAUGUCUUUUCUAGAGAGGCCGUGCUCAGUGGGAUGCCCUUCCAACUUCGUAAUCCUUCAAUGGUAAAUUGUCUGGAUUGUGCACUCUGCUUCAGACAUGUUAUGAUUUCUGUCUUUAUCUGUUUUGGAAGGACAGUUGUGGACUGCUGCUGCUAUCAGAGUCAGAGGAUCGCUAAUAUUUAGUGUAUGGCUAUGAACAGUGUAAUGCUUAUUUAUUUAGAGGUCCUAUUGCCAGGAGGGACCCUCGCAAAUUUUAAAUGUGCCUAUGGCCUCUAGUGGCCACAGGAGUGGAGCACAGUGUUGUUUCUUUCAGCAAGUGUGUUUUUCUAAAGUUCCUAUCAAAGGCAGAGCAUCGUCCGAUAUCAAAGAGGCAGAUUGUGGGUUCCCGAGUUUCCAGGGAAGUGCCGUCGCCAAGAACUCGGUGAAGCUCAACAGAACAGCGCUUGCCUGUCCUCUCCUUUUCCCUGGCCCUUGUGUGUUUGACUCAUUUGCUCCUUGACAAGUAUAAAGAGCCGACCCCCUCGUUAGACUAACGAAGGCAACAACUGUUAGAAUUGGGUAGCACGCUCAGCUGGCUCCAACUCAAGCGGGGAGGGGGUGUAGUGAGAUGGGCGAACACAGCAUUAGAUAUUGUGAGGGAAAAAUAGAGAAGCAGGCAAAAGAGUGAGACAGAAGUUAAACAGUGUCUCUAUGAUGUUCCCAGAACAUUGUUCAGUGACCCAGUCUACCUCACAAGAGAGUGCAUUGAUGUUGUGUGUGAGAUGCUACAGUUUCACCGCUCAUGGCUUGGAUUUGGAGCUCAUCAGCUGAUUGGCUCCUUUGCUAGUCAUGCGACUCAAGGAUACCCGUGAGCUGCCUGCCCCUCCAAGUGAAACCUUGUUGGUGGUCCAGUAGAUGGCAUAAAACAGGGUGGCCCCAGAGUUUAGGGAUGGAGGUUGGAUGUUUGAUUCACUUCUAAGUGACGCUGUUUCUCAUGUUUUAACAUUACAAUGCCACAGGCAGCUAUUGAAGAAAAAAAAAAAUAUUAAAAAAAAAACAAAAAAAAAAACAUUCUCAGCCAUGAAAUUGUUGUACUGUAAGCGAAUGUGACAUUUCCUGCACUUUCAAAUGCUCUUAAUAGCAGUUCAGACACUUCAUUAAAAUGGUUCAUAAUGGUUUAAUGAGGACUGUUUCAGGACAUCAGGAUUCUUAUUGCCUGUAAGCCAGUGUUACUUUUGGGGCCCUAGCCAGAUGUUAACUUCAUGUCUUCAGUUUUUCCCCUCUACUGUAGGUCUCUUGUCCAGGUGUCAUACAUGCAGAUCAGUCACUUUUUGGCGAAAUUCGCCAUUUUUAACUCAAAAUAGACAAUUUACGUGAAUCUUAUAGAUUAAAUGAGUUUUUCCUGGAGAGUGGGGGUCGCCGUCGCUGACAUCAUAGACUGUUUCGUACUCCUUGAACGCUGGCAGCUAGAUCCAUUCCACACAUUCACCAUCCACACACCGAUGUAAUUGUGUAUAUUCCUCCGCGGCGGACUAAUAUGCGGCCUGAGGUUCCGCCUGUGCGCUCGGGACCUGGUCACAAGAGUUGAUGAGACCGGGAAAAAACGUCCGCCGCUUCUGCUGUUAAGAAGUAACGGUACUUUUACUCCGUUGCAAUGAUCUAAAUGUCGCUCGCUACUUUUAUGUAUCAGUUAUUGCUUAUUUAUCAACUAUUUCAUGUGCGAGACUACUACUUCGACUUCCGCAUCGGGCGCUGUUUGCGCCAAUCCAGUUUAAAAGCGAGUGACGUUUAAGUCUAGUUCACCAAUCAAACGACACAAAGUCACAUGACCUCCCACAACGUCUUCUGUUGGGCUUCCCGGACAUAGUUAUUAACACUAUAUAAGCCUGCCCCGCUGAUCGUCGUGCAUCCGUGAUGGCUGUUUUGGGAAGGUCGUCGUUACCAUUAAGGCAACGGCGCGCUACUCGUGUUUACAUUUAUACAAACAAAAACAACAGCUUUCAUGUAUUCUAGUAUUUGUCUGGGACUCUCUGCCCAAAUGUGGCUAUUUCAGCUCACUUAGAACUUGAGAAAAGACCCUGCAGUAAAUUGCAGAUUUCUUUGGAGUUUUGACUGUGCAUACACACUCGCACAUUCACAUUUUAUUUUGUAAUUUAUUUAUUUUUUAAUUGAUGUUCAUGCUGUGUUAAAAAAAAAAAAAAAAUUUAAAAAUCAGAAGUUACUCACUGUUUACUCAGUACUUGAGUAAUAAUUUCACGUUAUACUUUUUACUCUUACUCAAGUAAUUUUUUGGAGGACUAAUUUUUACUUAGUCACAUUAUUAUCAAGUAACAGUACUCCUACUUGAGGACAAUGUUUGGCUACUCUACCCACUUCUGGAGGGGACAUCCUCUAUGGCUACUCUUACAUUUAAGCAACAUUUUUGCUCAUCAGAUCAGCCCGUGUCAUAUUUGUUGCAUAGGUCUUUUGUAUUUUCGCGUUGAGGUGCUGCGGGUUGUGGCCCUGGUUUUAGUCCCAGCGGAACCGCGAAGCACACGUAACAUCGGCGACAAGAGUUGAUCUGCUACUACAUCUGCCAUAAUACAUUGUUAAAUGUAUUAAGCGACGGAGCUAUGUUAAGGAUUAUGUCACAACAUGGAAAUAACUAACUUCAAAUUCACAAAUGGCCAAUAAAAACUGAAAAAUAUUGUAUUUUAAUAUUUUCCUGGAGGAUGCAUUUGGGAUUAGCCUUUGAAGUUGGUAAUAGUGAAAAAUGAAGUGAAACAGACAAUGAUUUUAGUCAAUUCUUUCCAGAAUGAGAGCGCUUAAAGAGGAGGAUGCUAUUCAUGUUUGAAGCAGGCAUCAGGUGCAGGUGGAGAUAGGCCUGGCUCAAGUUGGAGGCCAAAACAAAAAAGCAAAUAAAUGAGGAAAAUUUAAUUAGAAUCUUAAAUUUGUACGUCAACAUGUACUUGAGCGGUGUAAAUAAAUAAUAAAUUUUGCCUUAUUGUACUCUUCAGAGUCUUCCAGAUUGCUUAAUUUAUGUUAAAAUCAAAAACAUUCUCUGCAGGGGCACGGGGAUCCCCCCAGAACCCCCUAAAAUAUAUAUAUAUAUUUUGUCACCUUUUUCAUGCCUUUGGUGUUUGCAUGUCUGAGGUGUUGAUACCCCUUGUCUAUACAAUGUAAGCCACAUUUCCAUUGUUUUAGUUUAGCUCGGUUUAUUACAGAACAAUUUGGAACAUCCAUCCAUCCAUUUUCUGAACCACUUCGCGGGCAUGCCGGAGCCUAUCCCAGCUAUCAUCGGGCAGGAGGCGGGGUACGCCCUGAACUGGUCGCCAGCCAAUCGCAGGGCACAUACAAACAAACAACCAUUCGCACUCACAUUCAUUUCUUGAGGCGCUGUAGGCAGGGUCCGGUAGCAGAGGGUGUCACACCGGGAAGCCAAAACUUAAUAGCUGCCGGGACGGGACCCCCUGCUCUCUGUAAUGGGAAGCAGUCUUCCUGCUAAAUGUGGUGGAGAGAAGUAAAUGCUGCUGUCUGCAGGCUGGUGUGCAUCACGGGGGGACCAGGAUGCUGAGGGAGGUGACAGCUCCACUGCUCACCUCCUCUCAUGGGAAGCCUGCUGCGUGCUUGCUUUGUUGUGCAGAGUCUGCCUGCUCGACUACUACCACCGGGUUUAACAGGGUUUGGUUUUCUUUCCUUUUAGUCUCAUUGCUUCAUCCUUUCUUCUCAGAUUUUUACUUUCAAGUUCUCCCUAUUCUACUUGUUUCAAUUUAGUCAUCUUUGCUUCUGCCUGCCCCCUCCUGCUGAAAUCCUACAAGUCUGUCCCCACAUCCAGAACCCCGCUUCUCUGUUGGCUUGGAUAAUGACCCUGCUGACAACUCAGUCCCAUGGCGGAAGUGGCUGUGGACCAGAGAGAGCGAGCUCUGUCUCCAACAUCAAUCACUUCAAUGGCCCCAGAUUUGGAAAGGGGAGAGAGAUAAGGCUAAUGCUCAGCUGUCUGCAGAAAAAUAGUUUUAGUUUAUGCUAUAUGUAUCCUCCACAUACGUUUAUGCUGAUUGCUUGUGUUACUAAGAGAUCAUCUGCACAAAUUAUCUAAAAUUAUCUUAAAAAGGCAUUUCUUUUUUGGCAUGCAGUUAGUCAAUCUAUAUCCAUGCACUGCUUGUUUACUCAGAGAGAGGGGGCAACUCUCAAUCCUAGUAUGGCAUGGGGCAACUACCCACAGUGUCUCUAUGGUAAUCAGCAGGUGUCACUCACCACAGAGAAGAAGCGAGGGCUUUCUUACGAGCGUGAGAAAGAGAGGCAGUCUCCCUCGCGCCCCCACCCUGCUUCCUUCCUUUUUUAUCCUGUUGGGGUAGCAGCAGCAACCACAGUGAUGGAGAGAAAGAUGGGUAAAAGGAGGGGAUAGAGAAGGCUACAUAGAGGCAGGGGUGGCCCUUCCCUUGCAACCUGGUGAUACUGCUGCCAAAGCCCUGGCAUUGGAGUACCUCAUCCAGCUGCAUGGGAGAGGGAAGAACCAACAAAGUGGUUUCAGUAAGCGGGCUAUGAUAAAGCUAUAAAGCAGAGAGAGGAAGAAAAAACCUGUGGCUUGUUAAGGAUGACAUAUCAUGUGGGCCUAUUAGUGCCUUAUAUGGGCACAGUGAGAUAAUGGGUGGGUAAAGGGUGUCUUUGCAUUGGAAGAGGCCCGACUCACAUUUCUGUGCCCAGUGCAUUCUAGAGUUGCUAGUUGCUUAGGCUCAAUAGUGACCCCCGCAUCAGGAAGACCCCCCUCUCCUCUGGAAGCAGGCCGCCUGUGGCUCAUUGAGAUGCAGGGCACUUGGUGGCAGGCUGCAGCUGCAGCUGACAGGCAGAACACGGGAAAAAAAGGCUGAGGGGAUGGCGGUGGGACUAAGCGGGGGAGGAAACAACAAAAGGCAUCAACCCCCCCUCCUCCAAUGAGUUUAAAUUUUCUAAUCCUCCACCUCCCCCAUCCUACAUCACCUCAUCCGAUUCUCACACAAACACACAUAUACUCUGUUCAUGCAGUUAGCACUGGCUCCUUUCUCCUCUCAUCCCCAAGCCAUGAAUGACCAGGCGGGAACAAAGACCAACAGCAGCCCCCUCAGGAAGUCCGACCUCUGGGUGUGGACGUUGAGAGCCGGAGUUUGUCUGAUGCUCUCUGGUACCUCUCACUGUGUUAGUGUGCAUUCACCCUGUUGUAGUGUGUAUCUCAUCACAAAGGCAGAGGCUUUUGGUAUUUUUAUGAGGUGCUUAAAACUUCAGUUGAUUACCUUUAGAAGUUGUGUGACAGGGAUUUGGUACAGAGUUGUUAAUCAGGUUGUACAGUAUGUCUUCCUUUGGGUGAUACAGUGACUUGAUGAGACAGACUUGAACCGCAAAUGGAUAACAUCAUUUUUGCUAUUCGUUUACAUGAAAAGCAGCAUUUUGGAAACUGAAACGCAAACAUUUUAAAACAUCUCAAACGGUCUCAAAGUUGAUGGUUACUGUUUCUGCCUACACACCCAUCGCCAGUAAUUGAGAUCAGCAGAGUGCGUUCGAUGAGAUGCCAUUCGGUCGGCAUGGAGGAGGGGCACAUUUUACUGUUCAAAAAACAUGCGUGAUUCGGAUGCGCAGCACCCUGUGCUGUGGUCUGAAAACUAAAUUCUCGCAUAUGGCUGUGGAAGCGCCAUAUGCUAGGCUAAGUUAAAACAGUCGGCUCGUGUAUACGGUACUUUGACAGGAAGUGACGCGACUAUAUGCAAAUGAUCAACAUAGUUUUUCAUGUAUUUUGUUUUGAUUGUCUUUUAUUUUUAGCUGUUAGUACUGAAAUAAGUCAAUUUAUACAUUGGCCUGAAACUGUUACCAAUAUCAAUAUACCUUAUCAGACUGUCAUGUAUCUAAAUUUUAGACACACCUUUCGUUUCAAAUUAGAAACCAAUUAUGGGUAGUUAAAGAUAAUUGGUGGGGGCUAGGGUGUGGGGGUGUUAGAUCAAGGGAUGUCGCCGAUCUUUCUCAACUGUGGGCCUCAGGAGCCCUUUGAUACAAAUAAACGUGACUUGACUUGAAAAGGGACCUAUUUUAAUGCUAAUACUAUCAAAUAGACCGCUUUUUCCUAAUUAAUAAUCAUUCUUUUGUAUUCUGCUCUAUUUCAUAGACUAUAGUGCAAUUAAUUUUACAAAACUAUUUGUAAACCACAAGUAUUUAAGUAUACAGUGUUCCCUCGCUAUAUCGCGGUUCCCCUAUUGCGGAUUCAGUGCAUCGCAAAUUUAAAAAAUCAUAUUCAUAUUGCUGAUAAUUACAUCUUUUUUAAAUUGCCGUGGCAAACUAAGAAUUUUUUUUAGCUAAGUCAUGGAAAAAACAAAUGCCAAUUUAUUCAAACACAGAUUACACUGAAUAAAACACCUGUACAGUACAGUACAAAAGCUCAGUUGUGCUGAGCGCUGAUAAUUCAGUGUCUCUGUACGCAUCGCUUCUCUGUGUCUGUGGGCAAGCUGAGAGAGAGUUUGUUGACGGUGUACGUCUCACGGUAACAGCGUUUCGUUACGUUAUCGAAAAAUGUGAGAUAAAUAGACUGACGUCUCGCUGUUUAUCAUUGGAAGACGUUACAAUACUUUGUCAAGCCCUACAAUGCCGCCAAAACAAGGUACCUGCUGGUUGGCAGUUGGCGGUGGAGCAUGAUGCUAGCAGUAGCACCUAUCUCGCAGUAAAGAUGGAACUUCUCGGCCAGUUGAAUAUAAGGCAGACUAGCACAAGGUUUAUGCCUGUCUGAAGUCAUUAUGGCAUAAAUGAAUCUUCGGUCCGCUUCAUAAAGAAGGACGUAAAUAAUAUCUGGGUGACAGCCGCAAUGCUCUUGCCGCAGUACAAUCGACAUCAACUUUAAUGCUUCCAUCCAUCCAUCCAUUUUCUUUACCGCUUCUCCUCACUAGGUUCGCGGGGUGCUGGAGCCUAUCUCAGCUAUCUUUGGGUGGGAGGCGGGGUACACCCUGAACCGGUCGCCAGCCAAUCGCAGGGCACAUAGAAACAACCAACCAUUCGCACUCUCAUUCACACCUACGGGCAAUUUAGAGUCUUCAAUCAACCUACCACGCAUGUUUUUGGGAUGUGGGAAGAAACCGCAGUGCCCGGAGAAAACCCACCCAGGCACAGGGAGAAGAUGCAAACUCCACACAGGUGGGGCCGGGAUUCGAACCCCAGUCCCCAGAACAGUGAGGCAGAUGUGCUAACCAGUCGGUGCCGGCUCUUCUGGCUUCCACAUCAACAUAAUUAAAAUUUUAAAUGAAAUAAAACAGGUGCACUUACUUAAUUUACAAAACUCUUUAAAUUCUAUGCCUGUUUGAUGGCCUUUCUGUCUGUCUGUCUGCUGCAGCUACUCUUUAUCUUCUCACCUUUCUUCAACGCCGGGUAGACGCACAAAGACAAUCGGGCUGUUUUUGUCCCAAUUUUGCCCCUUACCGACCAAGCAUGUCAAACGCCAGACUAUCUUUUGUCUUACAAGAUUAUCCUAUAACAUUAUCCUUAGGUCUGAGGUGUGUUAAGCGUGGGUUUGUCCCAAUAAUAGGGUCCGAAAUGGGUUGGGCACAUUUAAUAUUGAACACAUUUAAUAGUCAUUCCGACGUGAAAACGGGAUGUAACCAAUCAAAGAAGUGCCCUAGACUGAAAAACACUGAAACAACUGUAAAUAAAAACAAACGUCAAAUGUCUUACACGAUGUCACUUUUUGUAGAAAAAGUAGGCUCCCCAAAUGGCAAGAGGUAUUUUACAAAGCAUUUCCUUUUAUUAAUCUACAUCACUUCUGCCUCCAUUCCCUCCGGCAACACUCUGCACAUACCCAAAAGUGUCUGCCCGUCUUUGUUUUUGUGUGAUCAUGCGAGAUUUCAAGAUGGGCGAAAAGACAGUCUCUUUGUGUGUGGUAUUCUGUGUUGAGAUUAUUCGAGCACACCACACACACAAUACAACCAAAAUUGUUAAAUCCCUUUUUUAUGUAUUUAUUUUCUGUGGGGUCUGUCACAGAUGGUCUUUUAAGACAUGAAAAAUCCUUCUGUUUACCAGGCCCAACAUGACAACUUAACAUCAGCAAACAGCAAGACAAGGCUUCGAAGUCAUGGAUUUCAUUAGUGCAAUACUUUGUAUAGAUGCCUGAUGAGUGUUGUGUGAUGAAGAAGAAGAAAAAACAUCGGUUCCAGGCAAAAAGGCACUUUUCUCAUCCAGGGCAAAAGGGCUAAUGCCGGAGCACCACUAGGGGUCUAUUUGUGGACGUCCCUGUUUACCAGUCUUACGCUUCAGUGAAGGGGUUUUCAGAAGGCUGUCAAUCCUGUGGGGUCCUGUGGCCAGAUGAUGGGUAAGCAUGGGCAUAGUGUUUCUUAAUAAAACUAUUGGCCCGGUAUGCACAAGUAUUUUAUUUUGUUGGUUAAUGUGAAUAGGUAUUGUUUGGAGAACAUUGUCUCUAUGUGAAACUUUUCAAAAACCCAAAGGAAAAUCUUUUCCAUAAAUUGGAAAUGAGUCCUUAACAUUCCUGUCGAGGUCAUGUAGAGGCAACCGAACAUCAGAAAUUCAGUUCUCUUAACAUUUUUCCUUUAUGAAACCACCUUCAUCCAGUAGUCAUUUUACUGUCAAGUCCUCUUAAUCCAAGUUGACUUCUGCAUACAAAGGAAGUACAUUUCUAUCUUUUACUUUUUCCCCUUCAAAAAUGUUUUAAAUCCAGCAUCUGGAGUACAAUGGUUUCCUUGAACGAGCCUUGAUGAUGUAGUGACUGUUUCACAGAUGUUGUGCUAUAAGUUUUUACCUCUGUCCUCAUUUCAACUCAAGUGAAAUCACAGACUAUCAAUGUAUUGGGCAUCUUUAUUUUUCACAGAUGGAGAUAUAUAUACUGAACAAAAAUAUAAACACAACACUUUUGUUUUUGAUCCCCUUUUUUGUGAGCUGGACUUCAAGAUCUAAAACUUUUUCUCCAUACACAAAAGACCAUUUCCCUCACAAAUCUGUCUAAAUCUGUUAGUGAGCAUUUCUCCUUUGUCGAGAUAAUCCAUCCCACCUCACAGGUGUGGCAUAUCAAGAUGCUGAUGAGACAGCAUGAUUAUUGCACAGGUGUGCCAUAGGCUGGCCACAAUAAAAGGAAGCUCUGAAAUGUGCAGUUUUAUCACACGGCACAAUGCCACAGAUGUCGCAAGUUCUAAGGGAGCGUGCAAUUGGCAUGCUGACUGCAGGUUAUGUCCACCAGAGCUGUCACCCGUGAAUUAAAUGUUAAUUUCUCUACCAUAAGCCGUCUCCAAAGACAUUUCAGACAAUUUGGCAGUACAUCAACCGGCCACAACCGCAGACCACGUGUAACCACACCAGCUCAGGAUCUCCACAUCCAGCAUGUCUACCUCCAAGAUCGUCUGACACCAGCCACCUGGAAAGGUGCUGCAACAAUCGGUUUGGAUAACCAAAUAGUUUCUGCAGAAACUGUCUCAGGGAAACUAAUCUGCAUGCUCGUCGUCCUCAUUGGGGUCUCAACCUGACUGCAGUUUGUCGUUGUAACUGACUUGAGUGGGCGAAUGCUCACAUUCAAUGGGAGCUUGCACGUUGGAGAGGUGUUCUCUUGGUAAUGCACGGCCCCAUGUUGGAUCUGUACACUUCCUGGAAGCUAAAAAAAAUCCCAAUUCUUGCAUGGCCAGCAUACUCCCCGGACAUGCCACCCAUUGAGCAUGUUUGGGAUCAUCGUAUACGACAGCGUGUUCCAGUUCCUGCCAAUAUCCAGCAACUUCGCAAAGCCAUUGAAGAGAAGUGGACCAAUACUCCACAGGCCACAAUCAACAACCUGAUAAACUCUAUGCGAAGGAGAUGUAUUGCACUGCAUGAGGCAAAUUGUGGUCACAACAGAUACUGACCGGUUUUCUCCCCCUCCCCAAUAAAGCAAGACUGCACAUUUCA
Molecule: long non-coding RNA, 9950 nt
Organism: Phyllopteryx taeniolatus (common seadragon)
Lineage: Eukaryota; Metazoa; Chordata; Actinopteri; Syngnathiformes; Syngnathidae
Exons: 2
Source: RefSeq, a predicted model, not a curated record